AAAUUUUAAAAAUAUUUUUUUACCCUUGAAUUUGCAAUUCAAUAUCCUUUAUUAAUUAGACUAUAAAAUU
This 70-nucleotide transfer RNA is filed under the name Ips acuminatus. Its description in RNAcentral is "tRNA-Cys". Lineage: Eukaryota; Metazoa; Arthropoda; Insecta; Coleoptera; Curculionidae. The record is from RNAcentral.